Myotis lucifugus (little brown bat) is the source of this 46-nucleotide non-coding RNA. The record is from Rfam. NCBI's taxonomy places the organism in Eukaryota, Metazoa, Chordata, Mammalia, Chiroptera, Vespertilionidae.
CUAUAGGUUUUAUUUAAAACCAUGAAUUGAAAACUAAUUGCUUCUU